This 497-nucleotide ribosomal RNA is filed under the name uncultured bacterium. RNAcentral describes it as "partial 16S ribosomal RNA". It matches the Rfam family "Bacterial small subunit ribosomal RNA", at positions 28 to 507 of the family's 1533-position model. The record is from RNAcentral.
GAUGAACGCUGGCGGCGUGCCUAAUACAUGCAAGUCGAGCGAACAGAUGAGGAGCUUGCUCCUCUGACGUUAGCGGCGGACGGGUGAGUAACACGUGGAUAACCUACCUAUAAGACUGGGAUAACUUCGGAAAACCGGAGCUAAUACCGGAUAAUAUAUUGAACCGCAUGGUUCAAUAGUGAAAGACGGUUUUGCUGUCACUUAUAGAUGGAUCCGCGCCGCAUUAGCUAGUUGGUAAGGUAACGGCUUACCAAGGCAACGAUGCGUAGCCGACCUGAGAGGGUGAUCGGCCACACUGGAACUGAGACACGGUCCAGACUCCUACGGGAGGCAGCAGUAGGGAAUCUUCCGCAAUGGGCGAAAGCCUGACGGAGCAACGCCGCGUGAGUGAUGAAGGUCUUCGGAUCGUAAAACUCUGUUAUUAGGGAAGAACAAAUGUGUAAGUAACUAUGCACGUCUUGACGGUACCUAAUCAGAAAGCCACGGCUAACUACGUG